Molecule: non-coding RNA, 83 nt
Organism: Picea glauca (white spruce)
Lineage: Eukaryota; Viridiplantae; Streptophyta; Pinopsida; Pinales; Pinaceae
Source: Rfam
UAUGGCAUAGGAUGUUAUAUCUUAUUCUACACACUGAAAUUACCGUGUAGAUAACUAUACACCUCUGACAAACUGAUGCCAAC